CCUACGGGAGGCAGCAGUGGGGAAUAUUGGGCAAUGGGCGCAAGCCUGACCCAGCCAUGCCGCGUGAAGGAAGAAGGCUUUCGGGUUGUAAACUUCUUUGACAGGGGAAGAACAGAUGACGGUUCAUUGCAUACAAGCUACGGCUAACUACGAGCCAGCAGCCGCGGUAAUCCGUAGGUGGCAAGCGUUGACCGGAUUUACUGGGUGGAAAGGGUGGGUAGCCGGGAAGGUAAGUCAGAUGUGAAAGCCGGAGGCUCAACCUCCGAAUUGCAUUUGAUACUGUUUAUCUUGAGUACUGGAGAGGCAGACGGAAUUCCUUGUGUAGCGGUGAAAUGCGUAGAGAUAAGGAGGAACACCAGUGGCGAAGGCGGUCUGCUGGACAGCGACUGACGGUGAGGCGCGAAAGCGUGGGGAGCAAACAGGAUUAGAUACCCUUGUAGUC
RNAcentral lists this ribosomal RNA (442 nucleotides) under uncultured bacterium. RNAcentral's name for it is "partial 16S ribosomal RNA". It matches the Rfam family "Bacterial small subunit ribosomal RNA", at positions 338 to 795 of the family's 1533-position model. The record is from RNAcentral.